Molecule: ribosomal RNA, 484 nt
Filed under: uncultured bacterium
Lineage: Bacteria
Description: partial 16S ribosomal RNA
Rfam family: Bacterial small subunit ribosomal RNA
Source: RNAcentral
AGUGAACGCUGGCGGCAGGCCUAACACAUGCAAGUCGAGCGGAUGCAGAGUGCUUGCUCCUGGUUACGGCGGCGGACUGGUGAGUAGGGCCUAGGAAUCUGCCUGGUAGUGGUGUAUAACGUCCGGAAACGGGCGCUAAUACCGCAUACGUCCUGAGUGCGAACGUGGGGGAUCUUCGGACCUCACGCUAUCAGAUGAGCCUAGGUCGGAUUAGCUAGUUGGUGGGGUAAAGGCCUACCAAGGCGACGAUCCGUAACUGGUCUGAGAGGAUGAUCAGUCACACUGGAACUGAGACACGGUCCAGACUCCUACGGGAGGCAGCAGUGGGGAAUAUUGGACAAUGGGCGAAAGCCUGAUCCAGCCAUGCCGCGUGGGUGAAGAAGGUCUUCGGAUUGUAAAGCACUUUAAGUUGGGAGGAAGGGCAGUAAGUUAAUACCCUGCUGUUUUGACGUUACCAAAAGAAUAAGCACCGGCUAACUUCGUG